This is a long non-coding RNA of Gallus gallus (chicken), 2096 nucleotides long. Lineage: Eukaryota; Metazoa; Chordata; Aves; Galliformes; Phasianidae. The record is from Ensembl.
GGCUAUCUGCAGCUGAAGGGCUGCGUGGUGAAUGUGCUAAGGCCAGUGCUCUCUCUUUACCUCUGUGCCUCAGACUACGUGUGUUUGGCGGUCGGAGCUGCUGAGCGUUCCUAAGUCCAGGUGAAAUCAGUGGGAGCAACAUGUGCUCAGCACCUCGGGAAGCUGCCAGCAGGCCUUUUGAGCAUUGCACUGCUCGCUCAUCGGUCUAUCUGCUCCCUGUGCCAUACAGCGAGACACCCGGCUCCUCGAACAUGCUCAGUAAAGGUUUCGCCGCCAGAAUCAACAAGGAGGUGUGUGGAUAUGGGUGCACACCAAGGCACCUCCCAGGUCCUACUUGCCCCCACAGUGAGACCCGGCUGGGACACACCAGAGCUCCCUCCCAAUGGAAACCAGAUUUCCGGGGAUUGCCCAGAAGUAAAGGGUCUGGACACAACCAGAGACAGUACCUCAACUCACAACCAGGAAAGCAAGAGAAUCACUGGUUUUGGCACUGACCAAGAUAAACCACUGCAGCUGUUUAUCUGGGCAAGAGGAACUGCAAACAAUUCACGUUGCGUAUUGCUACUUAAAACAUCAUUCAAAAAGCUCUUCUGGUCACUGAUGGGUAAAAGUAGAGCAAAGCAACUGUCAGCAGCUUCUUCUUUUCUGGGGAAGUACAAUGCUGAAUAACCCCGGGGCACAACUGAGAAGGACAGGCCUAGAACGUGAACAAGGCCGACAGGCCUCACUGCGUAUUUUGCUUGUUUAAGUUCCAGCUCUAAUUCAAAGGGAGGAAAGAAACUUGUUAAGUAAAAGAAGCAGACAAGGAAAGAAGAGCAGAAAUAUAGUACGAUAUAAGUGACCUAGAAAGAAGCAUCUUCUGGACCAUUUUUUUUCUACCACUCAACGGAAUAUCAGCAGAAGAGCGUGAAAAGCAGAGAAAUGGGUUACCUCUAGGAGAUAGCACCCUGCAGCUCCUUCCACCUAACGACAGCACCUUUUGGCCAGCAACCCAAAGAAGGUAACCCUCAGAACAACCGUGACACUUCAGACACGGUCCAACUCCUUCCCUCCAACACCUCGGGUUUCGCUUACCACAAUUUGUUUACAAAUAUCUUACUUAGAAUCUUCCACGUGAACAUCUGUCUCAGAAUGAUCUUUCUGGGGACAGUCUCAGCAAAAUGAAAGUUCAGAUAUUCUGCAGAAAGGGAGUAUGCAAAUAGGUAGCUUAGGCUGUAUUAAAUUUACCCUGCUGCUGUUGAUGUUACUGAUUCACUGAGAUAUAAAAGUGGUUUCAGGUUCUGGAGUAUGCGUAAAAUUUUGGCAGAAGUGUUGUCCUGACCAGAGAUGUGUCUUCAGCUAUUGCCCUAAAAAAAAUCACCUAAAUGCAGUCCAUUUUAAAUUGUUGGGGGAAAAAAAAACAACAAAACAAAAACAGCAGCUAGCCUUCAGACCUUUCAUCAGUACAAACUUCAUGCCUCAGGCUUCAACAACAGCUCCAUACUGGCCGUGGCAUCUACAAAAGGGUCUGUCCUCAUGGGACUUGCUACAGAACAAAAGACAGUUCUGAACAGCUUUGGGACUUUCCACAUCAAGAAGCUACAGUUGGUAAAGAAAGACACAAUUACUUCAAUACGCUGUUUUUUACCUGAAUCUAAACAGAAACAAGGAAGAAACACAGAAACAUGAAGAAAGAUUUAGAGCUUCCUGUUUGACUUUGUUUACAAAAAGUAAGUCCACGCUAGAAGCAAGGCAUGAGCAGUUAAAAACAUUUCCAACGCAGAACUUACUGGUGCAAAUAUUUUCUGGUAACACAGCAUGACUGUAUCUAAGAUUCAUGGUCUGCUGUUCUCUGAAAUAUUCUUCCCUUUCAAGAUCAACACAGAGAGAGCGACACUGCUGUGCCAAACUGUCCUCCCUGUGCUGCAAGGCACUUUCACUUAAACCCCACAAAAUGCUGCUUCUUAAUUGUCAGAAAUCUUCGUUAACAAAUUUCCCUUUUCAGUUUUUGUGAACUGUGCUUUUCUUUUUUUGUUUGUAAACAAAGAAACAAACGAACAAAAAGCCAGAAUGUAGAAAAGCUCUGCCAGAACUCAAUUAAUAAAUAAUGAGCAUCG